UUAAAACCUUUCUCUCACCGCGUAGAUUUUCUUUUUCGCCGCGGCCUUGGCGUGUUCUGCUGGGUCUCUGUAGGGUUUUCUGAGAUUGCGACUAAUAUGUACUAAGUUUAAGACUGCAGGAUUUAGCGAAACAGCAUUUUAGAUUAACCCCGUUAUUAGUAAUGUUAAUUGACAUGCUUUCGGGUAGUUUUAGCGUAACGGCAGCGUUGUCUGUCGGGCCUCUAACACCCACGUGGAGCGAACCCGAAGGAUGAGGUUGUGACCGUUUGAGAGGAGGAAAUGCCACCACUGUCUAAGCUUAAACUGAAACCUACAUGAGGUGGAGGCCAUGACAGAAAACCUGAGGGUUAAGAUAAUGGGUUGUGACCGUUUGAGGAAAUGCCAGCAAUGUCUAAGCUUGAACUCAAACCUACACAAGGUGGAGGCCGUGACCUGAAACCCAGAGGGACAAGUUUGACUUCAUCUCUGCCUGAACUGAAUGAGAUCAGCUGACAAGUGCAGAUGACUUAUGGUAACCAGCAUAAAGCAAUGCCAUGGACCUUUUUUUCUUUUUUUUUUUUUAAAUAGUGUAACUGCAUGUUUUUGCACACAAAGUAACAUGUCUAAUCUGUGAAAUAAACUGUUGCUUUCUGAA
Long non-coding RNA from Betta splendens (Siamese fighting fish), 634 nucleotides. RefSeq lists it as uncharacterized. The record is from RefSeq and is a predicted model, not a curated record. Lineage: Eukaryota; Metazoa; Chordata; Actinopteri; Anabantiformes; Osphronemidae. The transcript is spliced from 6 exons.